Molecule: long non-coding RNA, 1510 nt
Filed under: Macaca fascicularis (crab-eating macaque)
Lineage: Eukaryota; Metazoa; Chordata; Mammalia; Primates; Cercopithecidae
Description: lncRNA (ENSMFAG00000048191.1)
Rfam family: Histone 3' UTR stem-loop (bases 5-50)
Source: RNAcentral
AAACCCAAAGGCUCUUUUCAGAGCCCCCCUACCGUUUCAGAGGAAGAGCUAACCUCACUGCUUGUACGUACGAGGGAAAAAAGCACUAAGCUGCCCCACCCACAAGAAAUGGAGAUCUGGGACCAUGGGCAAAUUUCUAGGGACCUGUUUUCCUGGAUUCUGAGUCUCGCCGAGGUUUUCUUCCGGAUCUCGGUUUCUGCGCUUUUUGAAAUCUGUUUGCUGUUUUGAAAUGGAGUUUUGCUCUUGUUGCCCAAGCUGGAGUGCAGUGGCGCGAUCUUGGCUCACGGCAUGCAAACUCCGCCUCACGGUUUCAGACGACUCUCCUGCCUCAGCCUCAGCCUGCCUAGUAGAUGGGAUUACAGACGCCCGCCACUAGUAGAAACGGAGUUUCACCAUGUUAGCUGGGCUGGUCUCCUGACUUCAGGUGAUCCGCCGGCCUCUGCCUCCCAAAGUGCUGGAAUUACAGGCGUGAGCCACCGCGCCGGGCCGGUUUCUGCUUUGAUCGGAAUUAAGUGGGCAGGGAAGUCUAGGCGGGCUGAGUCUUGCCUACGCCUCAGCGCCCAGCUCCUCAGACUGGCCAAACAGACCCCAGUCGUUUAGUCGAACGCUUCUGGAAUUCCACUGAAACGUUUUGCAUUUUUUGUUUCGAGCCUUCAAAUCUGAGUGUGUGGGCAGGAGAUAAUAAUCCAAGCAGAGGCUGUUUACUGCUGACGCUCCUCCCACUUCCCAGAUACUGACACCAGCUUGGGGCGGGUCCAGCCUUUUCCGCUCUUUCCUCCUUCCACCCACUCCUUUCCCUACAACUACCCUCAAAGGAAAAGGGUUGGAUGUCCCGUUUGGGAGAAAACAAAGUGGCAUAGAAGCAAGUGAUCACCUUUGAUAGCCACGUUAGAAUUUUCCGAGGAUAUUUUUAAAUUACAACGAUUCUAAUGGGCAGUUGGGCUGAGAGUCAUCAGAUUUGAGGAAGGUCUGGUUUCAUAUGGCUCUUGGGCUGAGAGGACAGGAUUUUUCCCCCUAGCAUUUCCUGUAUGUCCGAGAAUUUGGAUCUUAAGGUUGGAACUGCUUUAUAUGGGCCUUGGAAUCCUUUUCAUUGCCAGGCCAAAUUGCCUUUGAUUCCAGCUCCCAAUCGGUGUGUGACCUUGGCCUAGGGCUUAAUUUCUUCCUGCCUCCUUCUCUUCCUUGCAUGCUUUUGCUCACCUUGAAAUGAAAAGAAUCUGGCUCAGCAAGUGUAGAUUCUGAAAUCAGACAACAGGCUAAAUAAGAGAGAUGGUUUAUUAGGCACUACUGUGUGCCAGGCAAAUUUCAUGAGCUUCCAGUAUGUUAAUUCAUUUAAUCCAACAAUCUUAGAAAUAGGUUUUAUCCUUAUUCCGAAUUUUGAGAUGAGCAAACUAAGAAACAGCUUUAAAAAAGUUCCAAGGCCAGAAAAACAGUACUUAUAACAGCUGGCUAUUUUAUAACCACACUUCCUUAAGAGAUUAUUGUCAGAAAAAUAAAAAGAGUAAAACAUCCA